Antechinus flavipes (yellow-footed antechinus) is the source of this 716-nucleotide long non-coding RNA. RefSeq lists it as uncharacterized. Lineage: Eukaryota; Metazoa; Chordata; Mammalia; Dasyuromorphia; Dasyuridae. The transcript has 2 exons. The record is from RefSeq and is a predicted model, not a curated record.
UCUGUGUAAUAUGAUUUUCUACUGGUACUCUGACCAUCACAGGAAGGCUGCCAGGAAAGUGGAGAGUAUUUGUGUUCCUCCAAAGGUGUCUCAUUUGUCUGAGGCCUUGGCAACCUGCUGUGCUGGGAUUUGAGCACUGCUAACAUUAUUCAGAAUAGUUGAUGAUAACUCUAUUUUUCCCCAGGGUCAGCAGGACCUAUAUAUUCAUUAGAGCUGCCUGUGACUACUCUGCCUGAAGACAUGCUCAGUAAGGGUUAAAGUGAGAUGAGGCGUCAGCCUCCAGAGGUGUGAGACAUUGCCUCAAUAUUGGUGCUGCUGCCCCUGAGAAGUGCAGUGAGGAUCCCAGCGUUGGAAAUCUGAGGUCUUAAAGGGGAAUUUAUAAUGAAAAAUGACUCAGUUGGGGAAUUACAUCAAACAGAUGAUUCAGACAGAGACCAUAAACUCUGAUAUUCCGGUAAGCCAGGCCCGGCAAUUGCUGGAGCUAAUGAACUCUGCUUUCACAUUGGAUCCAGGACAUCUAACAAGACUCAAAGCAUGCUGGGAGCAAUAAUGGCUAUUAGGGAAAAUUGAAGGUGAUCCAGGAAGUCUGAGGCCUGAGACAUUGCAGAAAGGGACACCCAUGAACAAACAUCAGAGAUCACUCAACACAGUACUGAAAGAUCUGCAUUUUCAAGCAAACUUGGGAUAUAAAAAAAUAAAAUGAUCCCUAGAAAUGU